RNAcentral lists this ribosomal RNA (269 nucleotides) under Dendronotus shpataki. RNAcentral's name for it is "partial large subunit ribosomal RNA". It matches the Rfam family "Eukaryotic large subunit ribosomal RNA", at positions 113 to 373 of the family's 3401-position model. Lineage: Eukaryota; Metazoa; Mollusca; Gastropoda; Nudibranchia; Dendronotidae. The record is from RNAcentral.
GCCGAAUCCGCCGCGGCCUACAGCCCGGCCGGAACUGUGGCGUGCGGGACGUGGCCAGUCGAUCGGGAGCGUACCCGAGUCCCCCCGAGCGGGGCCCAUCCCAUAGCGGGUGCCAGGCCUCUGCAGGUACGCAUCCGACCGGCCGCUACCGUCCCCGGAGUCGGGUCGCUUGGGAAUGCAGCCCGAAGCGGGUGGUAAACUCCACCUAAGGCUAAAUACCGGCGCGAGUCCGAUAGCGGACAAGUACCGCGAGGGAAAGUUGAAAAGAA